CUACGGAGGGGGUUAGCGUUGUUCGGAAUUACUGGGCGUAAAGCGCACGUAGGCGGACUGGAAAGUUGGGGGUGAAAUCCCGGGGCUCAACCCCGGAACUGCCUCCAAAACUUCCAAUCUAGAGAUCGAGAGAGGUGAGUGGAAUUCCAAGUGUAGAGGUGAAAUUCGUAGAUAUGUGGAGGAACACCAGUGGCGAAGGCGGCUCACUGGCUCGAUACUGACGCUGAGGUGCGUAAGCGUGGGGAGCAAACAGGAUUAGAAACCCCAGUAGUCC
This 274-nucleotide ribosomal RNA is filed under the name uncultured bacterium. RNAcentral describes it as "partial 16S ribosomal RNA". It matches the Rfam family "Bacterial small subunit ribosomal RNA", at positions 523 to 796 of the family's 1533-position model. The record is from RNAcentral.